CCUACGGGUGGCAGCAGUGGGGGAUAUUGCACAAUGGGGGAAACCCUGAUGCAGCGACGCCGCGUGAGUGAAGAAGUCUUUCGGUAUGUAAAGCUCUAUCAGCAGGGAAGAAAAAAGACGGUCCCUGACUAAGAAGCCUCGGCUAACUACGUGCCAGCAGCCGCGGUACGACGUAGGGGGCAAGCGUUAUCCGGAUGUACUGGGUGUAAAGGGAGCGUAGACGGCAAUACAAGUCGGAAGUGAAAUACCCGGGCUCAACCUUGGAACUGCUUUGGAAACUGGAUGGCUAGAGUGCUGGAGAGGUAAGCGGAAUUCCUGGUGUAGCGGUGAAAGGCGUAGAUAUUAGGAGGAACACCAGUGGCGAAGGCGGCUUACUGGACAGUAACUGACGUUGAGGCUCGAAAGCGUGGGGAGCAAACAGGAUUAGAUACCCGUGUAGUC
Molecule: ribosomal RNA, 441 nt
Filed under: uncultured bacterium
Lineage: Bacteria
Description: partial 16S ribosomal RNA
Rfam family: Bacterial small subunit ribosomal RNA
Source: RNAcentral